CCUACGGGGGGCAGCAGUGGGGAAUAUUGGACAAUGGGGGGAACCCUGAUCCAGCCAUGCCGCGUGUGUGAAGAAGGCCCUCGGGUUGUAAAGCACUUUCAGUGAGGAAGAACGCCUGGUGGUUAAUACCCAUCAGGAAAGACAUCAUUCACAGAAGAAGCACCGGCUAACUCCGUGCCAGCAGCCGCGGUAAUACGGAGGGUGCGAGCGUUAAUCGGAAUUACUGGGCGUAAAGCGCGCGUAGGUGGCUUGAUAAGCCGGUUGUGAAAGCCCCGGGCUCAACCUGGGAACGGCAUCCGGAACUGUCAAGCUAGAGUGCAGGAGAGGAAGGUAGAAUUCCCGGUGUAGCGGUGAAAUGCGUAGAGAUCGGGAGGAAUACCAGUGGCGAAGGCGGCCUUCUGGACUGACACUGACACUGAGGUGCGAAAGCGUGGGUAGCAAACAGGAUUAGAUACCCUGGUAGUC
This 465-nucleotide ribosomal RNA is filed under the name Vreelandella stevensii. RNAcentral's name for it is "partial 16S ribosomal RNA". It matches the Rfam family "Bacterial small subunit ribosomal RNA", at positions 338 to 795 of the family's 1533-position model. Lineage: Bacteria; Pseudomonadati; Pseudomonadota; Gammaproteobacteria; Oceanospirillales; Halomonadaceae. The record is from RNAcentral.